This 496-nucleotide ribosomal RNA is filed under the name uncultured bacterium. RNAcentral's name for it is "partial 16S ribosomal RNA". It matches the Rfam family "Bacterial small subunit ribosomal RNA", at positions 28 to 506 of the family's 1533-position model. The record is from RNAcentral.
GAUGAACGCUGGCGGCGUGCCUAAUACAUGCAAGUCGAGCGAACAGAUGAGGAGCUUGCUCCUCUGACGUUAGCGGCGGACGGGUGAGUAACACGUGGAUAACCUACCUAUAAGACUGGGAUAACUUCGGGAAACCGGAGCUAAUACCGGAUAAUAUAUUGAACCGCAUGGUUCAAUAGUGAAAGACGGUUUUGCUGUCACUUAUAGAUGGAUCCGCGCCGCAUUAGCUAGUUGGUAAGGUAACGGCUUACCAAGGCAACGAUGCGUAGCCGACCUGAGAGGGGGAUCGGCCACCUGGGAACGGAGACCGGGUCCAGACCCCAAGGGGAGGCCGCAGGAGGGAAUCUUCCGCAAUGGGGGAAAGCCUGACGGAGCAACGCCGGGUGGGUGAUGAAGGUCUUCGGAUCGUAAAACUCUUUUAUUAGGGAAAAACAAAUGUGUAAGUAACUAUGCCCGUCUUGACGGUACCAAAACAGAAAGCCCCGGCUAACUACGU